AACGCAUAUUGCGCUCUCCGGUAUUCCGGGGAGCAUGCCUGUUUCAGCAUCAUUUGAACAUCUCAAAAUCAUUGUUUUUUGAUGGUUUUGGAACGCUGGGCUUUUGUGUUGUGUGGACUCUGACUAUCACAACUGGCCUGAAAUAUGUCAUAAAUUCAAUGCAAGAAAAAUUUGUAGAUGCUUUGCUAAAAAAGACGAAAAGCUAAUUAGUUGACUGUGGUCAUACUUGCUGACUAGUCUUGAAAGGCUAAGCAUGUCUACUCUCCAAAUUGAUCUGAAAUCAGGUAGGAGUACCCGCUGAACUUAA
RNAcentral lists this unclassified non-coding RNA (307 nucleotides) under uncultured fungus. RNAcentral describes it as "sequence contains ITS2". The record is from RNAcentral. Lineage: Eukaryota; Fungi.